CACUAUCGUUAACUGAAUACAUAGGUUAACGAGGCGAACCGGGGGAACUGAAACAUCUAAGUACCCCGAGGAAAAGAAAUCAACCGAGAUUCCCCCAGUAGCGGCGAGCGAACGGGGAGCAGCCCGGAGUCUGAAUCAGCUUGUGUGUUAGUGGAACGGUCUGGAAAGUCCGACGGUACAGGGUGAUAGUCCCGUACACGAAAACACACUUGCUGUGAACUCGAAGAGUAGGGCGGGACACGUGGUAUCCUGUCUGAAUAUGGGGGGACCAUCCUCCAAGGCUAAAUACUCCUGACUGACCGAUAGUGAACCAGUACCGUGAGGGAAAGGCGAAAAGAACCCCGGCGAGGGGAGUGAAAAAGAACCUGAAACCGUGUACGUACAAGCAGUGGGAGCCUCUUUAUGGGGUGACUGCGUACCUUUUGUAUAAUGGGUCAGCGACUUAUAUUCUGUAGCAAGGUUAACCGUAUAGGGGAGCCGAAGGGAAACCGAGUCUUAACUGGGCGUUAAGUUGCAGGGUAUAGACCCGAAACCCGGUGAUCUAGCCAUGGGCAGGUUGAAGGUUGGGUAACACUAACUGGAGGACCGAACCGACUAAUGUUGAAAAAUUAGCGGAUGACCUGUGGCUGGGGGUGAAAGGCCAAUCAAACCGGGAGAUAGCUGGUUCUCCCCGAAAGCUAUUUAGGUAGCGCCUCGUGAACUCAUCUUCGGGGGUAGAGCACUGUUUCGGCUAGGGGGCCAUCCCGGCUUACCAACCCGAUGCAAACUACGAAUACCGAAGAAUGUUAUCACGGGAGACACACGGCGGGUGCUAACGUCCGUCGUGAAGAGGGAAACAACCCAGACCGCCAGCUAAGGUCCCAAAGUCAUGGUUAAGUGGGAAACGAUGUGGGAAGGCACAGACAGCCAGGAUGUUGGCUUAGAAGCAGCCAUCAUUUAAAGAAAGCGUAAUAGCUCACUGGUCGAGUCGGCCUGCGCGGAAGAUGUAACGGGGCUAAACCAUGCACCGAAGCUGCGGCAGCGACACUAUGUGUUGUUGGGUAGGGGAGCGUUCUGUAAGCCGUUGAAGGUGUGCUGUGAGGCAUGCUGGAGGUAUCAGAAGUGCGAAUGCUGACAUAAGUAACGAUAAAGCGGGUGAAAAGCCCGCUCGCCGGAAGACCAAGGGUUCCUGUCCAACGUUAAUCGGGGCAGGGUGAGUCGACCCCUAAGGCGAGGCCGAAAGGCGUAGUCGAUGGGAAACAGGUUAAUAUUCCUGUACUUGGUGUUACUGCGAAGGGGGGACGGAGAAGGCUAUGUCAGCCGGGCGACGGUUGUCCCGGUUUAAGCAUGUAGGCGGAGGUUCCAGGUAAAUCCGGUACCUUAUUAACGCUGAGGUGUGAUGACGAGGCACUACGGUGCUGAAGUGAUAAAUGCCCUGCUUCCAGGAAAAGCCUCUAAGCAUCAGGUAACACGAAAUCGUACCCCAAACCGACACAGGUGGUCAGGUAGAGAAUACCAAGGCGCUUGAGAGAACUCGGGUGAAGGAACUAGGCAAAAUGGUGCCGUAACUUCGGGAGAAGGCACGCUGAUAGGUAGGUGAAGCCCCUGCGGGCGGAGCUGAAAUCAGUCGAAGAUACCAGCUGGCUGCAACUGUUUAUUAAAAACACAGCACUGUGCAAACACGAAAGUGGACGUAUACGGUGUGACGCCUGCCCGGUGCCGGAAGGUUAAUUGAUGGGGUUAGCGGCAACGCGAAGCUCUUGAUCGAAGCCCCGGUAAACGGCGGCCGUAACUAUAACGGUCCUAAGGUAGCGAAAUUCCUUGUCGGGUAAGUUCCGACCUGCACGAAUGGCGUAAUGAUGGCCAGGCUGUCUCCACCCGAGACUCAGUGAAAUUGAACUCGCUGUGAAGAUGCAGUGUACCCGCGGCAAGACGGAAAGACCCCGUGAACCUUUACUAUAGCUUGACACUGAACACUGGUCCUUGAUGUGUAGGAUAGGUGGGAGGCUUUGAAGCGUGGACGCCAGUCUGCGUGGAGCCAACCUUGAAAUACCACCCUUUAAUGGCUGGUGUUCUAACGUAGACCCGUGAUCCGGGUUGCGGACAGUGUCUGGUGGGUAGUUUGACUGGGGCGGUCUCCUCCCAAAGAGUAACGGAGGAGCACGAA
RNAcentral lists this ribosomal RNA (2146 nucleotides) under Enterobacter hormaechei subsp. oharae. RNAcentral's name for it is "bacterial LSU rRNA". It matches the Rfam family "Bacterial large subunit ribosomal RNA", at positions 146 to 2314 of the family's 2925-position model. The record is from RNAcentral. Lineage: Bacteria; Pseudomonadati; Pseudomonadota; Gammaproteobacteria; Enterobacterales; Enterobacteriaceae.